Molecule: ribosomal RNA, 372 nt
Filed under: Enterobacter kobei
Lineage: Bacteria; Pseudomonadati; Pseudomonadota; Gammaproteobacteria; Enterobacterales; Enterobacteriaceae
Description: bacterial SSU rRNA
Rfam family: Bacterial small subunit ribosomal RNA
Source: RNAcentral
GGCUCAACCUGGGAACUGCAUUCGAAACUGGCAGGCUAGAGUCUUGUAGAGGGGGGUAGAAUUCCAGGUGUAGCGGUGAAAUGCGUAGAGAUCUGGAGGAAUACCGGUGGCGAAGGCGGCCCCCUGGACAAAGACUGACGCUCAGGUGCGAAAGCGUGGGGAGCAAACAGGAUUAGAUACCCUGGUAGUCCACGCCGUAAACGAUGUCGACUUGGAGGUUGUGCCCUUGAGGCGUGGCUUCCGGAGCUAACGCGUUAAGUCGACCGCCUGGGGAGUACGGCCGCAAGGUUAAAACUCAAAUGAAUUGACGGGGGCCCGCACAAGCGGUGGAGCAUGUGGUUUAAUUCGAUGCAACGCGAAGAACCUUACCUA